This 253-nucleotide ribosomal RNA is filed under the name uncultured bacterium. RNAcentral's name for it is "partial 16S ribosomal RNA". It matches the Rfam family "Bacterial small subunit ribosomal RNA", at positions 524 to 776 of the family's 1533-position model. The record is from RNAcentral.
GACAGAGGGUGCAAACGUUGUUCGGAAUUACUGGGCGUAAAGCGCGUGUAGGCUGCUUCGCAAGUCGGAUGUGAAAGCCCUGGGCCCAACCCAGGAAGUGCAUUCGAAACUGCAGAGCUGGAGUCCUGGAGAGGAAGGCGGAAUUCUCGGUGUAGAGGUGAAAUUCGUAGAUAUCGAGAGGAACACCGGUGGCGAAGGCGGCCUUCUGGACAGUGACUGACGCUGAGACGCGAAAGCGUGGGGAGCAAACAGG